RNAcentral lists this unclassified non-coding RNA (315 nucleotides) under plant metagenome. RNAcentral's name for it is "partial contains 5.8S ribosomal RNA, internal transcribed spacer 2, and large subunit ribosomal RNA". The stretch from base 1 to 105 matches the Rfam family "5.8S ribosomal RNA", at positions 50 to 154 of the family's 154-position model. The record is from RNAcentral.
GAACUGCGAUAAGUAAUGUGAAUUGCAGAAUUCAGUGAAUCAUCGAGUCUUUGAACGCACAUUGCGCCCCCUGGCAUUCCGGGGGGCAUGCCUGUCCGAGCGUCAUUGCUGCCCUUCAAGCCCGGCUUGUGUGUUGGGUCGUCGUCCCCUCCGGGGGACGGGCCCGAAAGGCAGCGGCGGCACCGCGUCCGGUCCUCGAGCGUAUGGGGCUUUGUCACCCGCUCGAUAAGGACCGGCCGGGCGCCAGCCGGCGUCUUCAACCUUUUUUUCUCAGGUUGACCUCGGAUCAGGUAGGGAUACCCGCUGAACUUAAGC